UAGACCUAUGGAACCAAAAGCCCUGACGGUGGAGCCUGGGAAUCUGUAUCCUCAUCAGGCACCGUCUCAGUGGUUCAGCCGUGAUCAGACAUCUGGCCAGGAUGCUGAUGUACUGGCCUUUCCACCCCAAGGGUCUUGCAGCAAACCCUGGGGUCCUGGGGCCUUCUGCCUUGGUAGCAAAGAUCUGUUGGACCAUACAGUCCUCAAUCUAGAAUGGCUCUAGAUUGAGAUUCACCUCUGGUUUUGCCAACAUGUCCUAUACCAUUUUGCCUAAAUGGACAUUCUGUAAAUAUUUGAACUAACAGCACCCUUGAGGGCAGGGCCUGUUUUUUGUUUCUUUGGGGCCACCCACUGGCUCACAGUAAGUAAUCUAUGUCUGACAGUAGAUUGAUGGAUGAGGUCACAAACCCAGGCCACAUCCCCAAAUGGAAAACAGAAGAGGAAACAGAAGCUUAUACCCAGCCUUGCUGCUUCUCAGGUGGUUUCUGGGUUCUAAGGGGUUGCAGUCUGGAAGGAACACUAAGAUCUCUCGAAAAAGAACAACACAGAGGCCCUCAAAAGCAAGAACACCUUCCUAAAUGGUUAGGAAAAUUCUCAAAGGAACAUGUUCUGGGUCUUACUUGGAAAUGUAGAUUGCCAAUUUUCCAGUAUCUUCAAUACUUAUAUAUAAAUACUUAAAUCUGCUUGACUUUGUCAGAAUAGUUGGUUACAAGCAACAGAAACAAGCUCUGGAGGAUUUGAGAAGAAAAGAAAUUGUGUAACAGUGUGACUGGGAGGAUGAAGGACCAGCCUCAGAAAAGGGCAGAAACCAUGAGAGUCUGGAGAGAGGAAGACAGCCAGGUAAAUCCACAGGGACAAGCUGAUGAGGACACCAGUCACCAGAGACUUGCACCCCCUACACCAUUGGCACUGGACCCAGUGCACCACGGCUCGAGACUCUGCCCUGUUCCACUGAAGUGUGAAAGCUUCUCCGCCAUCCCUGUUUCUUUGCACCAUUGGCUUCCAGCUCAGGGCAGGAAUCCUGGGCCUCAUGCCCACAUCCUAGCUGCAAGGGAGGUUGGAAAAUAGAGCGUCUGGUUUUGGUGGGACGCAGAUACCCAUGCAUGGGGUGGGGAAUUCCCCCAAUAUAGGAAAAGGUUCAGAUACAGGGCAGCCAAAGCAAAUGAGAAAUGUUUGCUACAGGUUCUAUAUCGUGUAUGGGAACAGGAAGUACAAAUGUGAAAGAAUAGCCGUUUCCUUUUUUUUUUUUUUUUUGCUUUUCUAAGAAAGGAACUUUGCAGAAUUUCAGUUGUACAGGUUAGCACAGCCGUGAGAUUCUUCUCCACGGGAGUUGGGGAAGUCUUAAUGAAGAGGGGGACCUCGAAGAACACAGAGGAUUGGGGCAGGAUGGAAAGGAUGGGAGGGCCCCAAGACUGGGGAAAUUACACAGAGGGAGGGGUUAGCUUGAAGCCACAGGGGGAGCAAUUGGAGACAGCCUGACCUUCCUCGGAAGCCAGUCCUCUCCAGGUUCAAGAUCCAACAUACUGACACCCAUCAUUCUCCUCAGCAUCACCCAGGAUCCUCCUGUCAUUACCUGAGAGUGACAUCUCCACUACUCCUUUGAGCCAGUAAAUGGGAAGUGCCCAGUUGUGACAGUAGAACUCUAUUACACUUAGAAUAACAAUGAGUUGAAAUGUGUUGCUACUAAUUAUUCAGUGUAAUACUGUCCUCAAAGUUCAAGGUUAAUGGGGUGGAGAGAGGUUACCCAAAAUGAAAAUAUUAUUUUUGCUUGUACAUAAUGUUUUUCAUAAGAUCUAAAAACAACUGUGGCCUCUUAGCCCAAUGGUUCCCAACAUGGACGGUCAGGGCCCUUUACCUGGAACUCCUUAGUCUGUGUCUCCUUAAAGAAAAUUCAAUAUUUGUGGAUAGUGAUUUUUAUUUAAAAAAUAGUUAAAAAAACAAUAAUGCACAACUCAUAGGGUUCUUUUGUAUUGCAUUAAUCAGUGUGUUUUGACAAAUGCAUAUACCUGUGCCAGGUGUCUGUUCACGACUAAAAGGCUCAGGGGUCACUCCAGUUGAACUGGACUAACUGGGCUGUGCAAAAUAACCACACAAGAGACACAAAUACCUUUUUGUUUGGGGUCCCUGUGAUGGCUCCUCUGACCUUAAGGGUCCGCAGAAAGAGAGAGUGAGAGCUCGCACUGACCCCCUUUUAUUGAGGAGAAGCUAUUCAAAUGAGUCAAGGAGUCAGGUUUCAGGGGGCUGAGUCUAUCUUCAUGAUUUCCACUCUCAGCAGGUUGACUGACAUCUGGGUAGGCCACACCCAAGGGCACAGUAAGAGAAGGGGACACACACAAGGCACUUCCAUGGAAGAUUCUAUCCUAAACAGGGCAAGGGGUUAUAUUACAAAGGAACAGGUGAGCAUAGCUUCACCCAUGGGGCUGUAGCAAGACACACCCAUGCAGGAGACACUGUCUCUCGAACCCAAGAAGGGUGGGGAAAGCUCUGCCACAUUUCUGCAACUGAGCGCCUCAGCACCCAGCCGGGGAGUGUAACCCAGUCACGUGUAAGGUUGGUUUCCCACAUACCUGUGUAACCCAAACCCUCAUCAGCAUACAGACUAUUCCUAUACCUUGGAGAGUUCUUGUUCCCAUGCAACCUCUACUGAUAUCUCUAAAACAAUUGCUGUUCUAACUUUUUCCUCAUCUUAUAUUAGUUUUGCCUAUUCAAGAACUUCAUAUAAAUGAAACAGUAUAGUUUCUUUUAUGUAAAGCUUUUUGCCAU
Molecule: long non-coding RNA, 2763 nt
Filed under: Marmota monax (woodchuck)
Lineage: Eukaryota; Metazoa; Chordata; Mammalia; Rodentia; Sciuridae
Source: RNAcentral